UCGCUAUAAGAUGGGCCCGCGGCGCAUUAGCUAGUUGGUGAGGUAACGGCUCACCAAGGCGACCAUGCGUAGCCCACCUGAGAGGGUGAUCGGCCACACUGGGACUGAGACACGGCCCAGACUCCUACGGGAGGCAGCAGUAGGGAAUCUUCCACAAUGGGCGAAAGCCUGAUGGAGCAACGCCGCGUGAGUGAAGAAGGAUUUCGGUUCGUAAAACUCUGUUGUAAGGGAAGAACAAGUACAGUAGUAACUGGCUGUACCUUGACGGUACCUUAUUAGAAAGCCACGGCUAACUACGUGCCAGCAGCCGCGGUAAUACGUAGGUGGCAAGCGUUGUCCGGAAUUAUUGGGCGUAAAGCGCGCGCAGGUGGUUUCUUAAGUCUGAUGUGAAAGCCCACGGCUCAACCGUGGAGGGUCAUUGGAAACUGGGAGACUUGAGUGCAGAAGAAGAUAGUGGAAUUCCCAGUGUAGCGGUGAAAUGCGUAGAGAU
RNAcentral lists this ribosomal RNA (490 nucleotides) under bacterium Mabisi15. Its description in RNAcentral is "bacterial SSU rRNA". It matches the Rfam family "Bacterial small subunit ribosomal RNA", at positions 215 to 697 of the family's 1533-position model. The record is from RNAcentral.